GAUGAACGCUGGCGGCGUGCUUAACACAUGCAAGUCGAACGGAAAGGCUCCUGCUUGCAGGGGUACUCGAGUGGCGAACGGGUGAGUAACACGUGGGUGAUCUGCCCUGCACUUCGGGAUAAGCCUGGGAAACUGGGUCUAAUACCGGAUAGGACGAUGGUUUGGAUGCCAUUGUGGAAAGUUUUUCGGUGUGGGAUGAGCUCGCGGCCUAUCAGCUUGUUGGUGGGGUAAUGGCCUACCAAGGCGUCGACCGGUAGCCGGCCUGAGAGGGUGUACGGCCACAUUGGGACUGAGAUACGGCCCAGACUCCUACGGGAGGCAGCAGUGGGGAAUAUUGCACAAUGGGCGCAAGCCUGAUGCGGCGACGCCGCGUGGGGGAUGACGGCCUUCGGGUUGUAAACUCCUUUCGCUAGGGACGAAGCGCAAGUGACGGUACCUGGAGAAGAAGCACCGGCUAACUACGUG
RNAcentral lists this ribosomal RNA (465 nucleotides) under uncultured bacterium. RNAcentral describes it as "partial 16S ribosomal RNA". It matches the Rfam family "Bacterial small subunit ribosomal RNA", at positions 28 to 507 of the family's 1533-position model. The record is from RNAcentral.